This 483-nucleotide long non-coding RNA is filed under the name Ananas comosus (pineapple). RNAcentral's name for it is "long non-coding RNA (ACOM_LNC026071)". The record is from RNAcentral. Lineage: Eukaryota; Viridiplantae; Streptophyta; Magnoliopsida; Poales; Bromeliaceae.
GGGCAGUUUAGCAGUUCGGAACAGUUGGAGCCCUUCUGAAUGUCCGUUUGGGCUCAAAUUUGACAGGCAGGCUCGGUUUAACGUACUGAGUAAGAAUAUAUCUUAAGUUUUCAGUUUUGACCUCGUUUGGUCACUGAAAACUGUACCGAACUGUAAUCUUUAUCAGAUAGCCGUCAGAUUUUAUUUCUCACUCUACGGGUGUCAGAAAAAUAUGAAAUUUCAAAUCUAGCCUCAUAAAAAUAUUUCUGACUUAUCCUCCAAUUUUCAUAAUUUUCUGAGACUGUGCAUUUUCUGCUAAUUUAUCUGUCCCGUUUCCAACAGAAAAUUCUAAAUCUUCUGUUUCCAGUCCGAUUUCAGCACAAGUCAUUUCUGACUUAUAUUUUACUCCUCUAAAUCCAAUAAAAAUAGUUUCUCACACUAUUUUUAUUUAUUUUUAUUUUUACACCAAAAUCUGGUAUGUUACACUUGGAGUAGAAGGAACUG